This 240-nucleotide ribosomal RNA is filed under the name Triticum aestivum (bread wheat). RNAcentral's name for it is "partial small subunit ribosomal RNA". The record is from RNAcentral. Lineage: Eukaryota; Viridiplantae; Streptophyta; Magnoliopsida; Poales; Poaceae.
CCGGCCACUCCUUGGUUGUCCCCAUUAUGGAAAGCCCCCGUACCUCUAAAGAUUAAGAUCUUUGUUGGGCAAUUACUACGAGACCGCCUCCCCUCGGUGUCUGAGGUUCUUAAGCGGCAUGGACCUGGUGAUGGUCUAUGCCCUCUCUGUGCGGUACCAGAGACUGGGACCCAUAUCCUAUUCUCGUGUACCACAGCGAGGGUUCUUUGGACGUAUGUCCAUGAGGCCUUGGGGCCCUAA